AUCCAGCUGACGAGUUCCGAACAGGACGAAACGCGCUUCCUGAAU
Non-coding RNA from Schistosoma rodhaini, 45 nucleotides. The record is from Rfam. Lineage: Eukaryota; Metazoa; Platyhelminthes; Trematoda; Strigeidida; Schistosomatidae.